Molecule: long non-coding RNA, 367 nt
Filed under: Oryza brachyantha (malo sina)
Lineage: Eukaryota; Viridiplantae; Streptophyta; Magnoliopsida; Poales; Poaceae
Description: long non-coding RNA (OBRA_LNC002192)
Source: RNAcentral
UGGAGUGGAGCGCGGCCGUGUCGCGAUUGACGAAGUCGGGUACGAGAACGCCAGGGGGAAGCACGCCGCCGCGGUCCUUGUCCAUGAGAUGAGCGGCGCACCGUGAUCGCGCGCCGGGACCACGCCGCCGGCGCGGGAGUAUAGCAUGUCGUAAUAAAAUCAAUUUCUUAUUUUGGAUUUUUGGAAUGGAAUAAAAAAAUUCCGAUUUUCUGGGUCUAAUGAAUAAAUGGAUAGAGCCUGGCUCCAAUUCUGGUAAAAUAAAAAGCAACGAGCUUAACUUCUUAAUUUUAAUUGGAAGGACUCCCUGAUCUAAUUAGACGUUAAAAAAAGAUUAGUGCUUGAUGUGGGGAAAGGCUGGUUUUCCUAU